GGUUCUUUCAAUCUAUCCUCCCAGGGCUUGGCUUCCAGGUCCAGCAGGGGGUUCGACUCGAUGGUCUCAUCGGCCCUUCCAAGCCCAUCAUCUUAGGACAGAUUUGCCAGGCUCUGUUUCUUGCGCUUCUUAUUGGUAACCACCGGUCCCAUGUUCUCCCUUUCAGAGCUUCAGCAUCAGGUCAGCAUCCAGUUGUAGGGCCAGGAAUAUGCUGAUGAGGCUGCUCAAGAUCUGCUCCGCACAGCUGGAGAGAGCAAGACCAAGCUGCUGGUCCCUCUGUUGAUUGAAGAGAUGCUGAAAGAGGUAAGAGGCCAUGUAUAUAUGUAAAGGAGAGGCUAUAUAUCUGGCCUUUCUUUCCUCAUGCUGGGUAUAGCAUGUUAUCCUUAUCAUAGCUUUCACUCUAUCCUCUUUUAUAUUUUCUAUGAUUAGAGUAAAUUUAUGUAAUACUCCUUGCAUUUCUAUUUUGUGAGCGAGGCGGCUUUGAAGGCUCAGUGGCCAAUGUUAGCUGUUCUUGUUCGCUACUGGCCACGGCAGGACGAAAUUCUAAGACAGUUCCCAGAUGUCCUCAAGGAGAGCAGGAUGGUGGACGCUUCCCUCAUGGCCAAAGGACUUUACUUAUUCCUAGAAGUCUGCGUGGACUGUCAUCCCCCAAACCUCAAGAAGGUCUUCCGGACUCUUGAGAAGUCCACGUUCAGCAAGGCAAGUCAGAGAAGGCUCUGAUGGGGAUCCCUCCCACCCAAAACGGAAGCCCCCGUUGGUUGCUCUCCACACGUCCGGGGGGUGGGGGUGGGGUUGGCCGUUAGAAAGAAAUCAGAAGAGUGGCUCUGGGGGGUGGGGGUGGCCGUUAGAAAGAAAUCAGAAGAGUGGCAUCACUAGGUUACACUGCCCAGAAUCCUCCAGCUGACACAGGGAUGCGGGACAGUUUUCACCCCAUCCCAGAGCAGCCUGAAAAUCAUCCCAGUGCCCAAGAGCUUUGCUGCUCUCACGUCUGGUGAUCUGGAGAUCUCUCCGGCCUCUUCAACGUCAUGGAAGGGAAGGGUGGAUCCCAUCGCCACAAGGAGAACAUCAUGGCUGAGAUGAAGACGAGGGCCUAGAGCCGUGGGUGCAAGGCAGAAAGGUCUCUCUGGCUUUCCAAGCCAGGAGUAAAAGCAAAGUCUUGCAACCCGACACAGACAAAGGGUGAGGGCCAGAGACGUGGGUGCAAGGCAGAAAGGUCUCUCUGGCUUUCCAAGCCAGGAGUAAAAGCAAAGUCUUGCAACCCGACACAGACAAAGGGUGAGGCCCAAACAUUGAGGGGAUUCAGAGAAAACCAUGCAGUCCAGAGGGAAAGUGGUUUCCAUGCCCAACCAAAAAGAAAUUUACUUUUUUUGGACUACAGUAAAAAUGACCAUUCUGGCUGUGUGACGUUAGCUCUAUAAUCCAAAAGAAAGAGGAGGAGGGGGAGGGAGGGAGGGAGGAAGGAAGGGAGGAAAAAGAAAAGCAUAGGGGGAAAAAAAGAGGAAAAAAGAGUCCCAGAGGGCUUCCUGGGAUGGGAUGUUGUGAUAAACAGAGGACAGUAAACAGGCCAGAUAAUAAUGGUUUUAAGGAUGAUGAAAGCAGCCUGCAGGCCAGCAGCCUUCCCCUCCUUGGUCAUCUUGGGCCACCAUGACAUGUCAUAGAAGAAAGACAAGCCCUCUGUCCCCCCCUCAAAAUUUUCCCUCAGAGUGAAUGCAGUUCUGAG
Molecule: long non-coding RNA, 1720 nt
Filed under: Pogona vitticeps (central bearded dragon)
Lineage: Eukaryota; Metazoa; Chordata; Lepidosauria; Squamata; Agamidae
Description: lncRNA (ENSPVIG00000001687.1)
Source: RNAcentral